AACAAGGUCUCCGUUGGUGAACCAGCGGAGGGAUCAUUACCGAGUGUAAAAACUCCCAAACCAUUGUGAACUUACCACUGUUGCUUCGGCGGCCUCGCCCCGGGCGCGUUCGCGCGGCCCGGACCCAGGCGUCCGCCGGAGGCUCCAAACUCUUGUCUUUUAGUGUAUUUCUGAGUGGCAUAAGCAAAUAAAUCAAAACUUUCAGCAACGGAUCUCUUGGUUCUGGCAUCGAUGAAGAACGCAGCAAAAUGCGAUAAGUAAUGUGAAUUGCAGAAUUCAGUGAAUCAUCGAAUCUUUGAACGCACAUUGCGCCCGCCAGUAUUCUGGCGGGCAUGCCUGUCUGAGCGUCAUUUCAACCCUCAGGACCCGUUCGCGGGACCUGGCGUUGGGGAUCAGCCUGCCCCUGGCGGCGGCUGGCCCUGAAAUCCAGUGGCGGUUCCCUCGCGAACUCCUCCGUGCAGUAAUUAAACCUCUCGCGGCAGGAUAGCGGUUGAACCACGCCGUUAAACCCCCCACUUCUCAAGGUUGACCUCAGAUCAGGUAGGAAUACCCGCUGAACUUAAGCAUAUCAAUAACAA
Molecule: ribosomal RNA, 578 nt
Filed under: uncultured fungus
Lineage: Eukaryota; Fungi
Description: eukaryotic LSU rRNA
Rfam family: 5.8S ribosomal RNA (bases 197-350)
Source: RNAcentral